Molecule: ribosomal RNA, 465 nt
Filed under: uncultured bacterium
Lineage: Bacteria
Description: partial 16S ribosomal RNA
Rfam family: Bacterial small subunit ribosomal RNA
Source: RNAcentral
GACGAACGCUGGCGGCGUGCUUAACACAUGCCAGUCGAACGGAAAGGCCCCUUUGGGGGUACUCGAGUGGCGAACGGGUGAGUAACACGUGAAUAACCUGCCCUUGACUUCGGGAUAACUUCAGGAAACUGGGGCUAAUACCGGAUAGGAAUCCUUGCUGCAUGGUGGGGGUUGGAAAGCUUCGGCGGUUUUGGAUGGACUCGCGGCUUAUCAGCUUGUUGGUGGGGUAGUGGCUUACCAAGGCUUUGACGGGUAGCCGGCCUGAGAGGGCGACCGGCCACAUUGGGACUGAGAUACGGCCCAGACUCCUACGGGAGGCAGCAGUGGGGAAUAUUGCACAAGGGGCGGAAGCCUGAUGCAGCAACGCCGCGUGCGGGAGGACGGCCUUCGGGUUGUAAACCGCUUUCAGCAGGGGCGAAGCUUGUGGUGACGGUACCUGCAGAAGAAGCACCGGCUAACUACGUG